AUUCCUACCAUGACAUCACAGUGAAUCUGACACGAAACUUUAAUGGGAAGCUUGGCUGCUCUGCAGGUCAGCACAGAUGAGGAAUGAAAGCAUCGCACGGGCCAGGUGAGGCUCAGCUGUCUAGGUAAGUGAUGAUGGUAUCAGGCCUCCCUGUUGUUCCCUGAUUUCGCUUCAGAUGUCUCCUCGGAAAUGAUAAGAUUCCCGGGCUUGCUAGACACCGUGAGUUUUCCCUCUGCAUAUUUCAGAGACAACGCCUAACCCUGUGAGCGGAGUGGGACUGGAAAUACCAGAUAAUGAUCUGGCAUUCCCAGCCACAAGAGUGACUAUGGACAUUUUGCAGGUGUCCUCUAGAGAGAAAUGCUCUCUUCUGUGACCACGGACCUGAGCUUGGGGGGCCCCGCCAGCAUCCAGGUUCCCCCGAGGAAAUCCUGACAAACAGGAACCACGAUCGGGACAUUCUGCUAUCUGGGUAAGUAAUGGUGUGCUUGGUAAACUCACCACAGACCAAGUGAUCUCCAGGUAAGCGAGGUUCCUUUGCCUGAACAGUUUACCAUGUGAUGGGUUAAUGGCUAGUAUGGAAAAAAAGGGAAAUGGCUCCUUGUUCUCCUUGCCAUGCGAUCCUUUUCAUUUCUGUCCUGGAGAGAAAGUGUGCUCUAUGUGCUUUGUGAGUGCUGAUUGAUUGGCAUGUACCCAGGGAACUCACAUGGCAUUGUGCAUCACAGGAGUGACUGCGGUGGAUUUCCAGGGGAAGCUGGCCAGGGAAAAUGGCAUAUCCUACCAUGGCCUAGACCUUGGAGGGCCCUCAAGCAUCCAGGCAGGCAGUAGUCAGAGCAUGAGGACAACCUUGAGGUCUCUCCAGGAGAUUCAGGGACCAUCGGAUUUGGUACGGAUUCAAGUACGAGAUGAUCAUGGCUCUCAUCAUUGCAGUGACUGUGGUAUUUUGAAGGAAUCCAAGAAACAGAUGAUGGACAUGUCCCUAACCAUGGUAGUGCCCAUGGAAUUUUGUAGCUAUAGAGUGAAAAGAUGA
This 1027-nucleotide long non-coding RNA is filed under the name Macaca mulatta (Rhesus monkey). Its description in RNAcentral is "lncRNA (ENSMMUG00000059459.1)". Lineage: Eukaryota; Metazoa; Chordata; Mammalia; Primates; Cercopithecidae. The record is from RNAcentral.